This 488-nucleotide ribosomal RNA is filed under the name uncultured bacterium. RNAcentral's name for it is "partial 16S ribosomal RNA". It matches the Rfam family "Bacterial small subunit ribosomal RNA", at positions 28 to 507 of the family's 1533-position model. The record is from RNAcentral.
GACGAACGCUGGCGGCGUGCUUAACACAUGCAAGUCGAACGGAAAGGCCCUGCGUUUGUGGGGUGCUCGAGUGGCGAGCGGGUGAGUAACACGUGAGUAACAUGCCCUUGUCUUUGGGGUAACUUCACGAAACUGGGGCGAAUACCGGGUAGGAGCUCCUGCUGCGUGGGGGGGGUUGGAGAGUUUCGGCGGUGCGGGCUCGACUCGCGGCGUAUCCGCUUGAUGGUCGGGUAGGGGCUUAACCAGGCUUUGACGGGUAGCCGACGUGUGCGAGGGGUCGGCGGCCUUAGAGGGGGACCACGCACAAUGGGACUGAGAGACGGCCCAGUCGGCUACCGGACGCAGCAGGGGGGAACAUGGCACAACGGGCCGAAGCCUGAUACAGCAGCGCCGCGAGCGGGAUGCCGGCCUUCGGGGUGUAAACCGCUUUCGCCUUUGACGAAGAGUGAGUGACGGUAAUGGGUAAAGAAGCACCGGCUAACUACGUG